This is a long non-coding RNA of Papaver somniferum (opium poppy), 117 nucleotides long. RefSeq lists it as uncharacterized. The transcript is spliced from 2 exons. Lineage: Eukaryota; Viridiplantae; Streptophyta; Magnoliopsida; Ranunculales; Papaveraceae. The record is from RefSeq and is a predicted model, not a curated record.
CUCCGUUUAUCUGGGAGGAGACAGAAGGCACUAUGUGGUCCAUUCCAAGUAUUAGAGUUUUGGGGGUAUGAAUACCUGGGCAUAUGUCGACCAGAAAUCACAGAGGCGAGUACAGAA